GUGCAAAAGAAAUUGCACUUUUUGUUCUUAAAGAUAAUGGCAAAAACUGCAGUUACUUUUGCACCAA
Molecule: microRNA precursor, 67 nt
Organism: Cercocebus atys (sooty mangabey)
Lineage: Eukaryota; Metazoa; Chordata; Mammalia; Primates; Cercopithecidae
Source: Ensembl